Molecule: ribosomal RNA, 477 nt
Filed under: uncultured bacterium
Lineage: Bacteria
Description: partial 16S ribosomal RNA
Rfam family: Bacterial small subunit ribosomal RNA
Source: RNAcentral
GACGAACGCUGGCGGCGUGCUUAACACAUGCAAGUCGAACGGAAAGGCCCUUCGGGGUACUCGAGUGGCGAACGGGUGAGUAACACGUGGGUGAUCUGCCCUGCACUUUGGGAUAAGCCUGGGAAACUGGGUCUAAUACCGAAUAGGACACGGCCUUCAUGGGUUGUGGUGGAAAGCUUUUGCGGUGUGGGAUGGGCCCGCGGCCUAUCAGCUUGUUGGUGGGGUAAUGGCCUACCAAGGCGACGACGGGUAGCCGGCCUGAGAGGGUGACCGGCCACACUGGGACUGAGAUACGGCCCAGACUCCUACGGGAGGCAGCAGUGGGGAAUAUUGCACAAUGGGCGCAAGCCUGAUGCAGCGACGCCGCGUGAGGGAUGACGGCCUUCGGGUUGUAAACCUCUUUCAGCAGGGACGAAGCGCAAGUGACGGUACCUGUAGAAGAAGGACCGGCCAACUACGUGCCAGCAGCCGCAGUAA